GAUGGCGACAUGUAGAAAUUUGAAGGGAUGUUUGCUUGCCCUUUUUAUGGUCUAAGGCUUCCAAAUUGUGGCCAAAUAUUUCGAGCUCACAAAGGACGUUCUUCUUCGAUCUGCAAUUCUUGCGACCCUAGGGAUCAACGAACCCAACUAAUAGACAACAUCAGGUAUUUAUCCUGCAGUUUGUUUUCUUUGCAAGCAAAAGUCUCUAUUGUGAACCCGUUUUUACUUAAACCAGACACUGAUCUGAGAGUGAUCCAGGGAAGAAAUACCAAAGACGCGGCCUCAAGCUGCUAUUGACCUGCAGGAAUCUGAAAAAGGACACUUUACAGAGGUUUUGGAAGCCCCAGCUUGAGCCCCCAGCGGCAUUGGGAAAUCUGGCAGUGGUGCUCGUGAGCCCAGAGAAGCCUCCCAAUGUUGGUGCGGUGGCUCGCGCCUGCAACUGCUUCGAGGUGGAUGAACUCCGCAUCGUGGGUCCUUCCUGCCCAACAACGGUCA
This 495-nucleotide long non-coding RNA is filed under the name Coccomyxa subellipsoidea. RNAcentral's name for it is "long non-coding RNA (CSUB_LNC000758)". Lineage: Eukaryota; Viridiplantae; Chlorophyta; Trebouxiophyceae; Coccomyxaceae. The record is from RNAcentral.